RNAcentral lists this long non-coding RNA (489 nucleotides) under Daucus carota (carrot). RNAcentral's name for it is "long non-coding RNA (DCAR_LNC002621)". The record is from RNAcentral. Lineage: Eukaryota; Viridiplantae; Streptophyta; Magnoliopsida; Apiales; Apiaceae.
GGAUGUUGUUACUGGAAUGUCAGUUUUACUCAUUACUUUUCCGUUUGGAACCUAUUCUUUCAGCAUAGGGACCAACCCAAUCAAAGUAAACCCUUCUUCUGAACUCUUUCUUCGACCCCAGCUUUAGCGUUGUUUAGUUCUCUAUGGGGAGAUUAUCUUUUGGUACAGGAAGUAUUGUACACGUUCCUUGACCUAUUUGAUACCACAUAUCCUUGGAGGAUUCCACAACUAAGGGGGAGAAUAUAUUUACGGGGAGAAUUUAUGAAAGGGGGAAGAAAAAGUAAGUUAGCUUUCUUCUGUUGUCUACAACUAAGGGGGAUUAAACUACUCUUUAGCUGUGUAAUACUGAGGGGGAGAUUCUUCUUUCAACUAAGGAGGAGGAUUGAUCUUUCAUCUAAGGGGAGACAACUACUUAUCACUAAGGGGAACCUGAUCAAGGUAACGGGAGGAGAAGUAUAAGGUGAUACAAUUAUUCUUCAGUAAGUGGUA